This 500-nucleotide ribosomal RNA is filed under the name uncultured bacterium. Its description in RNAcentral is "bacterial SSU rRNA". It matches the Rfam family "Bacterial small subunit ribosomal RNA", at positions 29 to 524 of the family's 1533-position model. The record is from RNAcentral.
AUUGAACGCUGGCGGAAUGCUUUACACAUGCAAGUCGAGCGGCAGCGCGGGGCAACCUGGCGGCGAGCGGCGAACGGGUGAGUAAUGCAUCGGAACAUGUCCAUGUCGUGGGGGAUAGCCCGGCGAAAGCCGGAUUAAUACCGCAUACGCCCGAGAGGGGAAAGUGGGGGACCGCAAGGCCUCACGCGAUUGGGUUGGCCGAUGUCCGAUUAGCUAGUUGGCGGGGUAAAGGCCCACCAAGGCGAUGAUCGGUAGCUGGUCUGAGAGGAUGAUCAGCCACACUGGGACUGAGACACGGCCCAGACUCCUACGGGAGGCAGCAGUGGGGAAUUUUGGACAAUGGGGGCAACCCUGAUCCUGCCAUUCCGCGUGAGUGAAGAAGGCCUUCGGGUUGUAAAGCUCUUUUGUCCGGAACGAAACGGUGGGCGUGAAUAGCGUCCAUUACUGACGGUACCGGAAGAAUAAGCACCGGCUAACUACGUGCCAGCAGCCGCGGUAAU